CAGUCUUUGCUCCCUUCUGUGCUCCCAGCCCUUGUGUGUUGUCUGCAGCACCCUGCUCCAAGAGACAUCCUCUGGGGCUGCAGCAGCCGUGAGCAAGCACAGCCCCAUCAGUCUAAACAGAGGCACCUGGCUGCUCCAGCUCUGGGGCCAGCUUUGCAAAGAUGUCAGCAGCUUAAAGAUGUUGAUGGAGUUAAUAGGAAUUAGGCACCUAACCUACUUAGAUGCUGCUAUAAAUGCUGCUAGUCAUGUUUAGGUACCUAAAUACCUUAGUAAAUCUUUCCCCUUACUGCCUGCAAUGAUAGUGCACCAAAAAUCAAAUACUAAUGAAGAAAGCCUGCCCUUUGUCCUCUGUAACCAGCUUUGCCUUUCUCUGGGGAUUGUUUUCAUGUAAUACUAAAAAUACUAGCUGUCUCGCAGGCUGUGCCAUCCAGAUCCUUUUCACAUUUUUGGUGGCUUGAUUAUUUGUUGCUUAUUCCAGGCAGUAGCUGAUUUUGCCACAGAUCUAAUAGUUUGAUACUCUUGCAACAUUCUUUUGAGAUAAAUUAUUUUACUACGAGGUAGAAGUGUUGAACUCUCUUCCCAGAAAGAUGCAAGGUGUGUAUUACUCCAUAUUAAGUCAUAUGGUUGAAAAAAUAUGGAAUGGGCCCAAACCGGUUACAAAUAGAGCCUGUUGUUUCCAAAUAUUAGGAUGGGAAGUUGAAAUCUAAUAACUAAUACUGAUUUUCCUCUCCCGCUCACAGUUACUCCUUCUUGGGAUUAUUCUGGGAGGUUUGCACAUUCCCUGCAGAUUUUGUCCCUGAAGCCACAAGGCCAUCUCUGGUCUUCUGUUUCUGAUAAAGAUCUCUAUUUACAGCUUCCAGGAUUAUCUGAGAGUAAAUAUGUACAGGGUUAACUCCUCUCUGAGCAUAUUUUCUUGAAGUAGGGCAUAUAUGUCUUUUAUGUUCGGCUGUUCUCAGCAUGACAGAAAGGACGGUGAUCUGGUUUGUAGUUACAGCAGCUUCACUGCAGAAACUGCUCUACAGUUAGUUUUUUUUCGUGGCCUUAUGUACAGGAAUUCUUAAUGGGAAAAAAAAAUCUAUAAUUCAUGAAGAAAAUGGGUUUAGGCUGGAUUUCUUUGUUAUUUGAAGACAAGGAAGAAUUUAGUUCAGCACCUUUUCCAAACCAUACAUAAACUGUGUUCUCCCUUCAAAUUAUAAAGGACAUUACAGUAUUGAACUGCAACUAUAUGAUGACUUACUAUUCACUGGGGGCUGCAAACGAAGGGAAGUUGCAGGGUGAUCAUGUCAAAAGGGAAAGGCUCACUGGGCUCAGCGAGGAGGAAUCCAGCUUCUCAAGAAAGUCACAGAAGCAGAAGCCUGUCGUUACCUGGAAAAUGCAGCUGUACAAAACAGGAAAUACUGUUGUCUUUGAAGGGAAAGGUUUGAAUCAGAGUUGUGAGGAGUGUUUUCUUCUACCAGUAUCCAAGCUUUUGUUCAUUUUCCUGCCCAGAGUUUGCAGGGUCAGAGUACUGCAGGAGCUGGUGGUCUCUGUAACUGCUGCAGACCCAUAGAGCCUCCAGCCAGCCUGUCCCAGCAGCAUCACAGCUGAGACAAGAAACACCUUUGGGCAGGUCCCUGCAGUAAAUGAUAUAAGAAAACAAAAAUCAGCAGUAAAUGCACACCAAGUGGGAAGUCCCGUGGCUGGCUGAAGAUAACGGAAAAGCCUGUUUCACUGCUGUGCUCAGAGAUUUUGCUACAAAGCUCUGGCGUUUAUUUCAGUCAAGGUUUGUUAUCAUUGCUUGUCCUGACUGUCACCUAUACACAAAUUAACCUACUCACAAGUGAAUACAGUGUCAGGGAAGUAAGGGAAAAGGCCUCUAACUUCAGCAUGUUCAGAAAAUAUAGUUUCCCUCUUACAAGAAAACUGCUUAGCCUGCAGGAAUGAAGUUUUGCCACAGCACAGGAGGGUUCUACAAGAGGACUCCCCCAGGUGAGGGACAAUACUUUGCACAGAGGUGAGCAGCACAGCAGGGUAAUUAGCUGUGUGGUUUCUGCUGUGGCUGGGAGAAAUGGCCGCUCUCCAAGUAUGGAGAAAUUGUGGCUGCUACAGCCAAAUUGGAAUGGCAAGUUGGGGCACUGGGUGCAGCUGGGAGUGCAGACUGUGGGAUGCAGCCCUGUGGUCAGGGCAUCUCAUCCUUGAACCCACAGCACAUGAGGUCUGGUUCCUGGAGAGGAACAUUACCAGGUACAUUCCUCCUUGCUCUAACACCUUUCAGCUUAUCGUAGUGGAGAGUGCUCAUUCCAAAAAAAAGCAUAGGUAGUGACAGGUUCUGAUUCUGGGUGGGAGCGUUAAAUGAGUAGAGGUGAGCAGAGAUACCACAGAAAUGCUUCUAAUUCCUUAUUAACACCGAGAGCACUGCCCAGCCUCCUGGACACUUUCAGUACUGACUGCCUUUAGUAGUUAUUCACGGUACUGAUACCAAUGCAACAUCUAUCUGCAGCUCUCAAUUUUCCCUGUCACCUACCAUGUUUUCAAGGGAAAAACUGCAUCUCUGGCACCUCCCGAACAGGAAAAUUGAGUCUGCGGUAAUCCCAAGUAUCUGUGAUAAGAAGCUCGGCUCUGCCAUGAAGGCCGAAGGUUUUGAGAGCAGGGAAGGACAGCGAGUCAGCUGGAUGUACGUGCAUUAUGCCAUGUCCCUGCCAGGGCUGGAGCCUAAUUGGAUUGCACAAAUGCGACUUCUGUGUCUCUUGAUCACAAAACCAAAUUAAACCUCAAGAACUUUCAAACAAAUCCCUACCUGAAAGUUUGCCUUGAAAAGAAAGUGCUGAUAGCUGGUAUCAUUUCAGCUUUUCCUCUCCCCCAGAAUGAGAGUAAAAUGAAAACUCCAAACUAAAACUAUUGCUUUAAGGCAAAUCAGAAGAGAAGCAAAGCAAAGCACGAGCAGCAAAUCUACAGAACUCCUGGGUGCACUGAACAAAAUCAGCCGUGUGGUAAUGAUGGGAUUUUCUAGAAGACCUUUUAGGCAUGCAACUUCUGUAUUAAUCUAUUCAGAAUUCCCUAGAACAUCUGUUUCUUCUCUAAAAUGAGAAUAACAGCCACUUUUUACAGUGCAAUGACAGCUACAGAUGAAAGCAUGGUAAUUACCACUAGUGACUGCUGCCUAACAUAUUUUCUUGCAAGUUUCUCUGUCAAGACUUUUUUUUUUUAAUCUACAUGCGGAUUCUGGAUAAGAACCUCAGCCAUGAUAGCCCCAGUUCAUGCAAUUUUGGGAGGGAGGGGGGAUUAACAGUGAAGCCUCUUGAAUCCAGGUCACAAGUAGGCUCCCCCUGUCCAGAUGUUUGUGCGUGAUUCAGGGUGCAGAGAAGAUGAUGGCUGCUGGCAGGCUGCCCCUGGGGCCACCCCGGCAGUGGCUCAGGGUCUCCAGGGUAGCCUCUGCUGCAUUCACAGCAAGGCCAGGACUCGUGAGGACACCCCAGUUCCUCUGCAGUGUGAGGCAAGGAAACGUUGCCCUCAUUGUGCAAACAGCAAGGCACAUGAAGUCACUAAACCUGAUUAGUUUGGUAUGAUCCCAGCGUUCAGGCAAAAGCUUGCCUCUUGAAUAACCAUGUGAGCACACCACUGCGGGUUCACUUGGCACCAGGCUGUUCUGAUCUUUAUGCAGCCACAUGAGCAGCUGUAAGACAGGGCCCAAAAAGCCAAGGGACAGGGAAACAUGGAAAACUUUCAGCAGAGCAAAAUCCUGCUGUAGGAAACCUGGCUGACAUCUCUGUGUGCAGCAGGGAAUGGCAGCUAUUGGAGCAGAAAGAAACCCCACGCCUGAAUGAAAGCGAAGAGACCUCGGGGAGGCCCCAGCUCUGGGUGUGCAGGGCCAACAGGGCUGGGCUGUUGGGGGCCACAUGGAGCUCGGUGCCACGUUCUCCUGCCAGGGCCCAACAGCUCCUGCCCUGCAGCACCCACCGCCUGGAGACAAGAGAAAUCAGACAGCAUUUUGUAAUUUUGAGAGGAACUCCUCCAAAUAUUGGGAAAAAAAUCACACCUCCUGUUACCUAGCAUAAAAAUGGAAAGCUUAAAAUUAUCUUUUUUUUCGGCAGUUGAUUUGUAGAUUCUCAUUGGUGCUGUCUGUGCUGAUUCCCAGUCAUAAGGCUGUCUCUGAGUGCUGAAAUAUGUGCUCUCUGAAUGAACCAAAAGUGCAAAGUUUUGCAUUUGUAACUGCAACGUGUGUUAGAGCUACAAAAUCCUAGCCCAGAAACUCAUGCGUAUUUUACUUCCUAUUAAAAUUUACAAGCAACUUUAGAGGACAGGAAAGUUCAUAUUUAUAAUAAAGCCAGCAUUACCUUUUCAGAAAAGACGGAUCCUUUUCUGACAUGUAUGGCAGAAACACAGUGUUUCCACAGAUGUCUUUGAUUUUAAAAACCAGUCUGCGUGGCAGUGAGGUACGGUACCAGAGAAACUUCAACAGCCCAGUGAGAGUGAACUGUUUCAGCAGAGAUUACUUAUGAGCUACUAAUCUUACCAUAAUCUUGCUUUUGACUGGCUUCCAGAGGACCUUGGUGCAACUCAUAAGUAAACCGUGCUUACCUACCAGUAACCCCAAGCAAUCAGUGCUUUCUUACGGGCAGCAUCCUGCACAGAUUUCCUGUUCAAGCCGUCUGACACACAGCCUAGGGAGUGCUUCCACCUCCCUCUGAUGGGCUGAGGAUGGCUCAGCCCUGGAGAAGUGUUCGAUGCCUGGCAGGAUUGAACCCUCUUGCCCUGGCAGACCUCUUGGAUCAGGUUUCCUGCAAGGAGCAGUUAUCAGACAAUUUGUCUGUGCUAGCAAAGUGCAGCAACCUGUAGCAUCCAAGAUCAAUACCAGCUCAGGUGCUAAGCAGCUGCCAUCUCCCAGCCUCUGAACCACGCAUUAACAGGGCUUGAGAGAGCAACAAGAGGGUGCUUGUGUGAGGUGCAGGCAAAUAUAAUGUACUGCUGCAGAGCUCGUUGCUAGAAACGUGUACCCGGCUGAUGUGUCCAGCUUGCAAUCUGUCCGUGUCACAACAGAGCUCGUUACCUUAUUUAUAAAUGAAAUUAUAUAGCUAACUCCUGUAAGUAUUCACCUGGGCUACACGUUACUCUCGAGAUCUUCCUGCACCUUUCAGAGCUGUGGCAUGCUUCUACCCACCCUGUUAGGAUCUCCUUCUUGAUGGGCCCUGUAGCUCUAGGGAAAGCCAUAGCAGGUGUAUGUUACUGCUCUGCAUCCCCCUCCGUAAGUGCCUAGUACCUCCUAAAUGCACUUGUGCGAGUUCCCACACAAGCUUUCUGGAUCUAGUGUCCUUUCAAAAUUAUCACCUGCAUUCCUCAGUGGCAGCCUCAUUCCUGCAGGUCAAGAUCCAUUCUUCCUUGACUGUAAUUUGAUGCUCUGGCCCUGUCACCUGAUAUGAAAAAUCUGGGCUUUGCUUCCAUUCUGGUUUCCAAAAGUCUUUCUCACUUACAGACAGUUUUGUUUCCUAGUCUCUAAGGUUGAAACCCCAGUGUAACGGACUAUAAGCAGACCAAGGAUGACCCCAUUUCUUAAACCUAUGACCAGGGCACAGGAUGCAGAUAGCACUGAGAGCCCAUGGAUGCCCAGGUCUAAAGCCUACUGCUCAAGUAAAUUUCAAAUAAUGAGACAAUAUGGCACUGCUUACAGAAGGGACAGCUUUUCCAAGGAAGAACUCACAUAAUAUAACAGUUGGCAAGUCAGUUAGAUAAUGACCAAGAAAAAAAUAAUGGUGUUGGAUGUCUGAGCAAAAUACAGAAAUAUUCUAAAAAGCUUGACUAGAAGCUUGCACCAGUGGGAUUUUUGCUGCUGUUACAUGGAGGCUUUGCGGCCAUGGAGACAUCUCAAGUGCCCUUUGGCUUUGGUUCUGGCCAGGACAAGGGAAGAAGAGUCUGAAGAAGCAGAACAGGCAACACCGGGUCCUACAGGUGCCAGCACAAAGUGUUGUGACAAGCUGAGUGUACGGAGUGUACCUAAUGGAGUUACCGGGUGAAACCCUGUAUCCAUGGUAUCUACAGAGGUGACUCAUGUCACCGCUACAAAUUCUAACUUGCUUGCAGAGAAUACAUCCUAGUAAAAUCUGCAUUUGUACUGCACUUGCACAGCAGGCUUGUGCUGAGAUUCCAUUUGUUCCAAAUGCUAAUGCACACAGCCAUGGUUCAGAGGAGGCCAAGGUGUAAAACAACUUCGGCCCAAGAAAAGCUGUGCUGGGCGUGCUCUGCCUCUCCUGUUCUCUGCUGGAAGCACUUGGGGCUGAGCACCAGGCACCAUACCCCUGGCAGCACGCAGCCCUCCCUGGGCUGGGCAUAAUCAGGUGUUGCUGGCUGUGCAUCAGAUCAAUACAGGAGCCUCUCCAUGUACAUCUUCAAGAGCUUAAUGCAGUAACUGCAAUUCAAAGCAUUUGCUCCACACAGAACUGAGUAGCUGAACCCUCUCUGACAUCGUUAAUGCUUUCAGCUGUUAGGAAUAUAGUGAUGCCACCUGGAAAGAAAUGUAGCUGCAAAUGGGAUAGCCAUUAAAUAGCUGCAUGCCAGCUUAUGUGGCUCUUUCCUGGGAAGCAAGAAUGUUGUAGCAGAGAAGCUGAAAGUUCCUAGAAGAAACAACAGCCGACGUAAGAUAAGUCAGCCCAGGAGGGAACCGUCAUAAGCCAUUUAAGGGAAAAUACAGGAGGACAUCUUUAUUUCCUUGCAUGUGUGCUGUCAGAUGGCUGGAGAUGCGAGUAAUUCAUCCACUCUUCUAAAAGAAUGUAUGGGCAGCAGGACUUCUGCAGGGGGCUGCUGACUGUAGCCGAAGGGAGAGGUAGAAGGACUCGUGGUGCCCGGCAUCUGCUCCUUGCACUCAGCACGAUUCCUGGUGUGCUGCUGCUCCAUCCUGCGUCACAGCAAGCAGCAGCCCUGGAUGCUGCUGAGGCAGAGCCAACAACUGAUUAUGGGAAAAUACCUCCUCUUCUUUUGAUAAACACUGAAGCAUAUGACUGAAACACAGAUAUUGGAUGCUCAGCGAGUAUCAGUAAAACCGAUUCUAUGUUUGGAAAUACAUUUAAAAAAUCCAAGUUACUAAUACUCUUUUUUUUCAAGCCCUUUUAAACUGUAAUCUUUAGUGAUCUAAUCAGAAUUGCUCUGUCAAAUAAAGUAUGGUGAUACAUGCACAGGA
Molecule: long non-coding RNA, 7147 nt
Organism: Anas platyrhynchos (mallard)
Lineage: Eukaryota; Metazoa; Chordata; Aves; Anseriformes; Anatidae
Source: RefSeq, a predicted model, not a curated record